UGGGAACGUGCCCUUUGGUUCGGGACAACUCCGGGAAACUGGAGCUAAUACCGGAUACGCCCUUCGGGGAAAGGUUUAUUGCCAAAGGAUCGGCCCGCGUCUGAUUAGCUAGUUGGUAGGGUAAUGGCCUACCAAGGCGACGAUCAGUAGCUGGUCUGAGAGGAUGAUCAGCCACACUGGGACUGAGACACGGCCCAGACUCCUACGGGAGGCAG
This 215-nucleotide ribosomal RNA is filed under the name uncultured bacterium. RNAcentral's name for it is "partial 16S ribosomal RNA". It matches the Rfam family "Bacterial small subunit ribosomal RNA", at positions 118 to 351 of the family's 1533-position model. The record is from RNAcentral.